GAGUUUGAUCAUGGCUCAGAUUGAACGCUGGCGGCAGGCUUAACACAUGCAAGUCGAACGAUGAUUACUAGCUUGCUAGUAUGAUUAGUGGCGAACGGGUGAGUAAUGCUUAGGAAUCUGCCUAUUAGUGGGGGACAACAUUCCGAAAGGAAUGCUAAUACCGCAUACGUCCUACGGGAGAAAGCAGGGGAUCGCAAGACCUUGCGCUAAUAGAUGAGCCUAAGUCGGAUUAGCUAGUUGGUGGGGUAAAGGCCUACCAAGGCGACGAUCUGUAGCUGGUCUGAGAGGAUGAUCAGCCACACUGGGACUGAGACACGGCCCAGACUCCUACGGGAGGCAGCAGUGGGGAAUAUUGGACAAUGGGCGAAAGCCUGAUCCAGCCAUGCCGCGUGUGUGAAGAAGGCCUUUUGGUUGUAAAGCACUUUAAGUGGGGAGGAAAAGCUAAUAAUUAAUACCUAU
Molecule: ribosomal RNA, 459 nt
Filed under: Moraxella sp. canine oral taxon 017
Lineage: Bacteria; Pseudomonadati; Pseudomonadota; Gammaproteobacteria; Moraxellales; Moraxellaceae
Description: bacterial SSU rRNA
Rfam family: Bacterial small subunit ribosomal RNA
Source: RNAcentral